AAUGUUUCAUAAGUGGUGAUUUCGCCAUAUCCCUAUAUAGUAUUUAUGACAUCAGUAAAGAAUUCGAGUCGUUGUGACCGUUGUAGGAAUUAGUAGUGUAAAAGACUUAGUAUGGAACGAAACUACUCGGGGGUCGUUCCUAGCUUCUGACUUUUUCAAGCAGCUUUUCCCUUACCAUCUCAUGCUCAUGUGGGUUUGAGAAAUCUAGUUUUGUCAUCCGGGUAUAUGCUCGCUGUAUCUGGCAUCACAUUUAACAAAAAUCAGAUGGAUGAUUAUUGUGUACGAAAAGACUGUUUAUCAUUUAAUUGUGAUUGAAUCUUCGAUUCAAACAAAUUUCCAUAAUAUUGCUGGAGCAGUUUUGAGGACACACCAUUGCUGUCGAUCUGAUAUUAAACCGUUAAAGUUCAACGUCAUUUUAAACAAAACAACGUUUAGCUCAUCUUUGGAUCAAGUGUGAUCUUUGACCGAGUCAUCUCAUUGCUUUUGGAUUUCAGAGCUAACACGUCUCAGACUGAUAUGACAGAGUAAGAUUUUUUUUUUUUUUUUUUUUGGUUUUUGUUUUGUUUUGCUUUGCUUAUGUUUUAAUAUGUACGGUACAAACAUGUUGAUGCAGCGAAAUGUCCCUCAUAACGUUAGAUAACUGGUCUGUAAUGAAAAUAAAUGUACGAGAAGUGAGGGGCUUAGGGCUGCGUUCACCCGAGAAUCGGAAACUACCAAAUUAAUUUUAAUCACCUUUAUACUAGAAUUGAUAUUUCUCUUUAAUGCAAAUUCCGUUUAAAAUUAUUUUGACCCCAAAGGUACUGUCAUGUUACUUUUCCAAAACAAA
Strongylocentrotus purpuratus (purple sea urchin) is the source of this 826-nucleotide long non-coding RNA. RefSeq lists it as uncharacterized. The record is from RefSeq and is a predicted model, not a curated record. Lineage: Eukaryota; Metazoa; Echinodermata; Echinoidea; Camarodonta; Strongylocentrotidae. The transcript is spliced from 2 exons.